Long non-coding RNA from Bos taurus (domestic cattle), 944 nucleotides. The record is from Ensembl. Lineage: Eukaryota; Metazoa; Chordata; Mammalia; Artiodactyla; Bovidae.
CUCCCUCAGCCCCAGGACAUUCCAGACUUGGGACCCAAGCCAAUCAGGUUCCAGGCAUAAGAGUCUUCAUUUGAAACAAGAAGAUUUCUAAAUGACUUCUUCAUUAGGGCAUUCUGAACUGAAAUCAAAAUGCUUUUUUUUCCUUGCAGCUUCUGAAAAGCAACUUGAGAUGUGUCAGGGUUGCUCUGUCCCUGGGAGCAGCCAGUGUCGGGGUUGCAGCUGGAGCCAGCCAGGUGUGGACAACCUUGGUCGAGGUUCUCCUUCUUCAGCAUGGUUUCCAUUGCCCAUUGCAGUUCUCCCGAGGGCCUGACCAGUAGGGAUGGAGCUAGUCUUCUGGAUGUUCAUCUUCCAAGAUUCCAGCCUAGUGGAACCCUGUCUCCUCCUUCAAAAGCGUCACUGGAAAGGUUUUGCUGUGAGUCUAAAAUUGGGGGUCCAGAUAUGGCAGAACCUGGUCACUCCCAGGACCCCCACGGUGUCUCCUGGUGGCAACUGCAAUCCUGGUUAGAGCUUCCUCACUCUCAUCAGUGGGCAGCUCUCGUCCUUGAGUUGAAAACCCCAAAUAUUUAACAGAGGACUGAGAAUCUGCCUUCUUCCUGGACACCUUACAGCCUCAUUCAGCCAAGAAGUUUGAAGUCAAAUACAUAUGCUGGUCUCAGGUGUCCUCUGUUUCACUGGUGAUCAGAAUAUCGUCUGCAUUCUGGAGCAGGGCCUCCUCUGUUUAGUUCAAGGUCCUCCAAGUCUGGGCAGGACUUCUCCAAGUAUUGUGAACUUGUAAGUCCCCAAGGAAGCGCUGUCCAACAGUACUGUAGUCUCACUCCUUUAUCUCCAUCUUCCCACUCAAAAGCGGACUUGGGACUCAAAACUCAAGGGUGUGCAGAAAAGGCCUCCUUCAAGUGCAAAAUGGUCCAAACAGUCCCUGGACAAAGUCAUGAGCAGUGUAUGGG